Molecule: ribosomal RNA, 840 nt
Filed under: Neohelicosporium irregulare
Lineage: Eukaryota; Fungi; Ascomycota; Dothideomycetes; Tubeufiales; Tubeufiaceae
Description: LSU rRNA
Rfam family: Eukaryotic large subunit ribosomal RNA
Source: RNAcentral
UUGCCUCAGUAACGGCGAGUGAAGCGGCAACAGCUCAAAUUUGAAAUCUGGCUUCGGUCCGAGUUGUAAUUUGUAGAGGAUGCUUCGGCUUACGUACCGGUCUAAGUUCCUUGGAACAGGACGUCACAGAGGGUGAGAAUCCCGUUUGUGGCCGGCACUUCCGCCAUGUGAAGCUCCUUCGACGAGUCGAGUUGUUUGGGAAUGCAGCUCUAAAUGGGAGGUAAAUUUCUUCUAAAGCUAAAUACCGGCCAGAGACCGAUAGCGCACAAGUAGAGUGAUCGAAAGAUGAAAAGCACUUUGGAAAGAGAGUUAAAAAGUACGUGAAAUUGUUGAAAGGGAAGCGCUUGCGACCAGACUUGCCUGCGGAUGCUCAACCGGUCCUUCGGCCGGUGCACUCUUCCGCGGUCAGGCCAGCAUCAGUUCGGGCGGUCGGAUAAAGGCCUUGGGAAUGUGGCUCUCUUCGGGGAGUGUUAUAGCCCUUGGUGCAAUACGGCCCGCCUGGACUGAGGCCCGCGCUUCGGCUAGGAUGCUGGCGUAAUGGUCGUAAGCGGCCCGUCUUGAAACACGGACCAAGGAGUCUAACAUCUAUGCGAGUGUUUGGGUGUCAAACCCGUGCGCGAAAUGAAAGUGAACGGAGGUGGGAACCUUAGGGUGCACCAUCGACCGAUCCUGAUGUCUUCGGAUGGAUUUGAGUAAGAGCAUAGCUGUUGGGACCCGAAAGAUGGUGAACUAUGCCUGAAUAGGGUGAAGCCAGAGGAAACUCUGGUGGAGGCUCGCAGCGGUUCUGACGUGCAAAUCGAUCGUCAAAUUUGGGUAUAGGGGCGAAAGACUAAUCGAACC